Molecule: ribosomal RNA, 460 nt
Filed under: uncultured bacterium
Lineage: Bacteria
Description: partial 16S ribosomal RNA
Rfam family: Bacterial small subunit ribosomal RNA
Source: RNAcentral
CCUACGGGGCGCAGCAGUGAGGAAUAUUGGUCAAUGGACGCAAGUCUGAACCAGCCAUGCCGCGUGCAGGAAGACGGCUCUAUGAGUUGUAAACUGCUUUUGUACGAGGGUAAACGCAGAUACGCGUAUCUGUAUGAAAGUAUCGUACGAAUAAGGAUCGGCUAACUCCGUGCCAGCAGCCGCGGUAAUAAGGAGGAUUCAAGCGUUAUCCGGAUUUAUUGGGUUUAAAGGGUGCGUAGGCGGUCGGAUAAGUUAGAGGUGAAAUCCCGAGGCUCAACUUCGGAAUUGCCUCUGAUACUGUUCGGCUAGAGAGUAGUUGCGGUAGGCGGAAUGUAUGGUGUAGCGGGGAAAUGCUUAGAGAUCAUACAGAACACCGAUUGCGAAGGCAGCUUACCAAGCUACUUCUGACGUUGAGGCACGAAAGCGUGGGGAGCAAACAGGAUUAGAUACCCUGGUAGUC